GGAGAGGUGGGUGAGUCUGGCUGAAACCAACGGUUUGCUAAACCGUCGUAGGGUAAAACCUACCGCGGGUUCAAAUCCCGCCCUCUCCGCCA
RNAcentral lists this transfer RNA (92 nucleotides) under Nitrospirales bacterium. RNAcentral describes it as "tRNA-Ser". It matches the Rfam family "tRNA". Rfam says of the family: Transfer RNA (tRNA) molecules are approximately 80 nucleotides in length. Their secondary structure includes four short double-helical elements and three loops (D, anti-codon, and T loops). The record is from RNAcentral. Lineage: Bacteria; Pseudomonadati; Nitrospirota; Nitrospiria; Nitrospirales.